GUUAACCAGUGGCUUGGUUAAGAGAACUCACUGGAGCCAUAGUGAAAGCGAGUCUUCAUAGGGCAAUUGUUAUUGCUUAUAGACUCGAACUUGGGUGAUCUAUCCAUAUCCAGGAUGAAACUUAGGUGAAACUAAGUGGAGGUCCGAACCGACUGAUGUUGAAGAAUUAGUGGAUGAGUUGUGGUUAGGGGUGAAACGCCACUCGAACACAGAACUAGUUGG
This is a ribosomal RNA of Gossypium raimondii (Peruvian cotton), 222 nucleotides long. It matches the Rfam family "Bacterial large subunit ribosomal RNA", at positions 629 to 852 of the family's 2925-position model. Lineage: Eukaryota; Viridiplantae; Streptophyta; Magnoliopsida; Malvales; Malvaceae. The record is from Rfam.